UAGUAUAGCAUCUAUACGGUGAACUGCGAAUGGCUCAUUAAAUCAGUCAUAAUUUAUUUGAUAGUACCAUUCUACUUGGAUAACCGUGGUAAUUCUAGAGCUAAUACAUGCUAAAAACCCCGACUUCGGAAGGGGUGUAUUUAUUAGAUAAAAAACCAAUGCCCUUCGGGGCUCCUUGGUGAUUCAUGAUAACUUAACGAAUCGCAUGGCCUUGUGCCGGCGAUGGUUCAUUCAAAUUUCUGCCCUAUCAACUUUCGAUGGUAGGAUAGUGGCCUACCAUGGUUUCAACGGGUAACGGGGAAUUAGGGUUCUAUUCCGGAGAGGGAGCCUGAGAAACGGCUACCACAUCCAAGGAAGGCAGCAGGCGCGCAAAUUACCCAAUCCCGACACGGGGAGGUAGUGACAAUAAAUACUGAUGCAGAGCUCUUUUGGGUUUUGCAAUUGGAAUGAGUACAAUUUAAAUCCCUUAACGAGGAACAAUUGGAGGGCAAGUCUGGUGCCAGCAGCCGCGGUAAUUCCAGCUCCAAUAGCGUAUAUUAAAGUUGUUGCAGUUAAAAAGCUCGUAGUUGAACCUUGGGCCUGGCUGGCCGGUCCGCCUCACCGCGUGCACUGGUCCGGCCGGGCCUUUCCUUCUGGGGAGCCGCAUGCCCUUCACUGGGUGUGUCGGGGAACCAGGACUUUUACUUUGAAAAAAUUAGAGUGUUCAAAGCAGGCCUAUGCUCGAAUACAUUAGCAUGGAAUAAUAGAAUAGGACGUGUGGUUCUAUUUUGUUGGUUUCUAGGACCGCCGUAAUGAUUAAUAGGGAUAGUCGGGGGCAUCAGUAUUCAAUUGUCAGAGGUGAAAUUCUUGGAUUUAUUGAAGACUAACUACUGCGA
RNAcentral lists this ribosomal RNA (875 nucleotides) under Leotiomycetes sp. RNAcentral's name for it is "SSU rRNA". It matches the Rfam family "Eukaryotic small subunit ribosomal RNA", at positions 61 to 948 of the family's 1831-position model. Lineage: Eukaryota; Fungi; Ascomycota; Leotiomycetes. The record is from RNAcentral.